GUACGGGAGGCAGCAGUAAGGAAUAUUGGUCAAUGGGCGAAAGCCUGAACCAGCCAUCCAGCGUGCAGGAAGAAGGCCCUAUGGGUUGUAAACUGCUUUUAUCAGGGAAGAAACCUCUGGAUUCACUCCGGAGCUGACGGUACCUGAAGAAUAAGCACCGGCUAACUCCGUGCCAGCAGCCGCGGUAAUACGGAGGGUGCGAGCGUUAUCCGGAAUUACUGGGUUUAAAGGGUGCGUAGGCGGCUUUGUAAGUCAGGAGUGAAAGUUUGCGGCUCAACCGUAAAAUUGCUUCUGAUACUGCAUAGCUAGAAUUAGGAUGAGGUCAGCGGAAUGUGGCAUGUAGCGGUGAAAUGCAUAGAUAUGCCAUAGAACACCAAUUGCGAAGGCAGCUGGCUAGACCUGGAUUGACGCUGAGGCACGAAAGCGUGGGGAGCGAACAGGAUUAGAUACCCCGGUAGU
RNAcentral lists this ribosomal RNA (459 nucleotides) under uncultured bacterium. Its description in RNAcentral is "bacterial SSU rRNA". It matches the Rfam family "Bacterial small subunit ribosomal RNA", at positions 339 to 794 of the family's 1533-position model. The record is from RNAcentral.